UGGGGAAUAUUGCACAAUGGGCGCAAGACUGAUGCAGCCAUGCCGCGUGUAUGAAGAAGGCCUUCGGGUUGUAAAGUACUUUCAGCGGGGAGGAAGGCGAUGUGGUUAAUAACCGCGUCGAUUGACGUUACCCGCAGAAGAAGCACCGGCUAACUCCGUGCCAGCAGCCGCGGUAAUACGGAGGGUGCAAGCGUUAAUCGGAAUUACUGGGCGUAAAGCGCACGCAGGCGGUCUGUCAAGUCGGAUGUGAAAUCCCCGGGCUCAACCUGGGAACUGCAUCCGAAACUGGCAGGCUUGAGUCUCGUAGAGGGGGGUAGAAUUCCAGGUGUAGCGGUGAAAUGCGUAGAGAUCUGGAGGAAUACCGGUGGCGAAGGCGGCCCCCUGGACGAAGACUGACGCUCAGGUGCGAAAGCGUGGGGAGCAAACA
RNAcentral lists this ribosomal RNA (427 nucleotides) under uncultured bacterium. Its description in RNAcentral is "partial 16S ribosomal RNA". It matches the Rfam family "Bacterial small subunit ribosomal RNA", at positions 355 to 774 of the family's 1533-position model. The record is from RNAcentral.